RNAcentral lists this ribosomal RNA (253 nucleotides) under uncultured bacterium. RNAcentral's name for it is "partial 16S ribosomal RNA". It matches the Rfam family "Bacterial small subunit ribosomal RNA", at positions 524 to 776 of the family's 1533-position model. The record is from RNAcentral.
GACGUAGGGCGCGAGCGUUGUCCGGAUUUAUUGGGCGUAAAGAGCUCGUAGGCGGCUUGUUGCGUCGACUGUGAAAACCCGCGGCUUAACUGCGGGCUUGCAGUUGAUACGGGCAGGCUAGAGUUCGGUAGGGGAGACUGGAAUUCCUGGUGUAGCGGUGAAAUGCGCAGAUAUCAGGAGGAACACCGGUGGCGAAGGUGGGUCUCUGGGCCGAUACUGACGCUGAGGAGCGAAAGCGUGGGGAGCGAACAGG